Molecule: non-coding RNA, 592 nt
Organism: Myodes glareolus (Bank vole)
Lineage: Eukaryota; Metazoa; Chordata; Mammalia; Rodentia; Cricetidae
Source: RefSeq, a predicted model, not a curated record
CCUGCCUGUGCUGGUAUCAGAAACAGCAGAAAAGUUUAAGAGACAGAAUUUUAUACAAUUCUUCUCUUAGGUGGAUUUACUAGCGUGUGUGUGGAUGGGAGUAUAAGCUAUUGAAAGUCCAGUCUAGUGAAAAAGUUGGGCUUAGAAUCAACCAGCAGCACCAAAGCCACAACAGAGAUGCUGACGAAGUUCUGCAUAGGAUCUGAGCAUCUGAAGGUCCUUCUGACUUCUCUUCUGCAGAGAAAUGGGAGAGGACAUUAAGUGUAGUGUGUCUCAUAGAAGAGCUAAGGAGUGAUCUCAGUGAAUAAUGUGUGGAUGGAUUAAAAAGAAAAUUGAAUCAGUGUUCUUGAAUCUUGUGUGAAUUCCAUCAAGAAAAUCUUUCAUAUGAAUUUGAACCUAAUGACCUGUAUGUUUCUUCAAUGAGAUUGGUAGAUGCAUGAAUGUAACAAUACUAUCUGUCGUGAUCACUACUGUAUAGCUGAAGUAACCUUUUCUACGUUGGAGUUGUUCUCUCUGUAAGUUUUUCAUAGUAACUGAUAAAUUUCAAAAGCAACAAUGUAAAUCUUACAUAAUUUAAUCCAGAAUUCAUCAA